ACUCGUGGGCAGGAAGCAAGGGCGGACCCCGAGAGAUGACUGAUUGUGGGGGUGGGGACCGUCUGCUCCUCCUAAUGGCUGGGGACCGUGCACGUCUGCGCGGGCCGGACCUGCUCUUCUCGGGAACUUGCGCGGGAGGAGGCCCGGAGCUGCGCCGCUUUACCCUCUGCUCCCCGGUGCCUAAAACGCACACGCAUCAAAGUCACAGGACGAGUUAGAGGAAUAUACAAUAGAGUUUUCCAGAGGCUGCUGGAUGAGUCAUAUUGUAACAGAUGCAAUGGGAACAUGGAGCUAUGGGAACUCAACUGCCUUAAGUGAAGCCAGACAUUAAGGAGAUUUGAAAAAAUAUAAUACAAUGCCACUCUUCUCCCUAUUUCUGUUUUGGAAAAUGCUGUUUUUCGUAAAGUAGCGGUGUGAUGGCAUGAUCACAGCUCACUGCAACCACCGCCUCCCAAGCUCAAGUGAUCCUCCCACCUCAGCCUCCUGAGUAGCUAGGACUACAGGAGAAAGGCAGAGGGAGAUUUGAAACACAGAGGAGGUGAUGAGAAGACACAGCAGAAGAUAUCUGAAGACUGGAAAGAAUGCUGCAACCAACAGGAGAAGGAAAAGACAGAAAUGUGUUUUCCAUUUGGAGCAUCCAGAGGGAGCACAACCAUAUCAACACCUUGAUUUUGAUCCAGUGACAUUGAUUUUGGACUUGUGGCCUCCAGAACUUUUAGAGAAUAAAUUUGCAUUGUUUUAAGCCAACAGGUUGGUGGAAAUUUUUUACAGCAGCCACAGGAAGCAAACACAGACUCCUAACUGGUGCUUAGUCCUAGAAUAUCAGUUUCUGUUCCACUUCUGGAUCUCAUAAUUGCAUCUCAGACAUCAACACUGACUUCAUAUUCUUAAUGCACCAAUUCUACCAUUUCUUCAGGCUGCAAACAGAGAAAAACUUAUUUAAGCAUUCCAGAAUUGACCCAAUAGAAGACUCUCCAGAAAAGACUGCAUGGUCUCUGAAGCAGCAUGAUCAGCAUGACUGGCUGCAUCUGGGCUCCACCGUUUGCCACUUCAGACAGGUCCUUAGCCUCUUAGAGGUUCAUUUUCCUUGCUGUAGCCCGGAGUAAGAAUGUUUAGCCUACAAGAUUUAUUUUGAGGCAUCAAUGAAUCACUAUGUGAGCCUCACACAGUGUCUGGCACUGAUAUUACAAAAUAUGGUUGAUCUUGCCAUCCUUGUUAUUGUCCUGGUGGGGAUUCCUCUCUGUUGAAGAUACGGAGCCUCUAAAAAUGAGUGGCAGAGGCUCCCAGCUCAGGAUCCUUGUCCAGGUCCUAAAGAUCCUCCACUCUGCUUGUCACUCUGUUCAUUAUGUUUGCAUGGCCACCACGGUCAACACUACUGCGGCCUACCUCAAGUUCUCAUGCCUCACUCUCUGAGCUCAUGAGGACACAAGGAUCCUUUGGCAACACAUUAACUACACUCUGUGGCCAUCCCUUGACUUCUGAGAGGAUGUUUCCCUCCUCUCAAUCAAAAGCUCUCUUCCCUCCUGGGCAAGAUCCUUGCAUGCACCCAGCACCCUCACACCUGGUGCCCUCACACCCAGCACUCUCACACGUGGUGCCCUCACACCCAGCACCCUCACACCCAGCACCCUCACACCUGGUGCCCUCACACCCAGCACCCUCACACCUGGUGCCCUCACACCCAGCACCCUCACACCUGGUGCCCUCGCACCCAGCACCCUCACACCUGGUGCCCUCGCACCCAGCACCCUCACACCUGGUGCCCUCGCAACCAGCACCCUCACACCUGGUGCCCUCACACCCAGUGCCCUCACACCCAGCACUCUCACACUUGCACUGUCCUCAUCCCAACUCUGUGGUUCCUCUGGGGAAUCACUGUGGAAUCCCUCAUGGGAGGAUGUUUUCAAAAGAAACAACAGCCCAAUGAAGGGUAUUUGAGGAUGAGAAGCAGGAAAGAAGUCAGUGGGUGGCUGAGUUGUGUCCAGGUUUUGCGUGGCCAUGGAAAAUCAGGUGAAGGACAUUAAAUAUCUUGCAGUGGCUUCUCCAUUAGGAGCAUGAAAUGAGGAAAGGGGCUGUCCUCACAGGCCAGCCAAGAGGGAUGCCUAUGCCAAACAGAAAGACUGACAGUAAACAGAAUCCAGGAUGACAUGACUGAGGUAUGGUGUGCAGGGCAUGGCCCAGGGAGGAGGGUAGAUAAGUAAGCCUGGGUGCACCUUCAGAGGAAGAAAUAACAGAGGCUGCAGGCGAGAGAGUUACAAGGAAGGAGGAGCAGGAAGACACGAGAAAAAUUCAGAUAAACUCAACAUCUCCAGCCUGGGGGAAACGUGAGAGGGUGGUAUGAAGAUACACACGAUGCAUGUUGCUUAGUGAAAGCAGCCAGUCGGAAAAGGCUACGUAGUGAAUGACCCCAACUAUGACAUUCUGAAAAAGGCAAAACUAUGGAGACAGGAUAAAGAUCAGUGGUUGCCAGUGAGGCAGGAGAAUAGGGUCUGGGGGCAGGGAGCCUAAGGCUGAUUCAUGCUGACUUCAUGAACGGAAUCAAAAGGAAAACCCUAAAUUUCCAUGCCCACGUAACAAAAGGAUCAGAGGCUACUCCCUUUGCAACUCCCCCCAACUUUCUGUGUUGCAGAUGAAAAAUGGAAAGUGCCUCGGAUUGGUCCCCUCCUGCAACCAGUCAGACAUCUGCAUAGAGCGUAACUUUGUAACUUCACUUCAGCCUCUGCUUGGUCACCUUCCACAACCAAUCAGACUGGUCAUGGGCCACUAUUUCAUAGGGUGUAAACCAAGUGACCAAUGGGAAACAUCUAGAGGGUAUUUAAACCCCAGAAAAUUCUGCGACCAGUGCUUUUGAGCCUUGCUUGGGCCUGCUCCCACUCUGUGAAGUGCAUUUUUGUUUCAAUACAGCUAUGCUUUUGUUGCUUC
This 2922-nucleotide long non-coding RNA is filed under the name Homo sapiens (human). RNAcentral describes it as "ZNF8 divergent transcript, transcript variant 4 (ZNF8-DT)". Lineage: Eukaryota; Metazoa; Chordata; Mammalia; Primates; Hominidae. The record is from RNAcentral.